Molecule: long non-coding RNA, 231 nt
Organism: Nanorana parkeri
Lineage: Eukaryota; Metazoa; Chordata; Amphibia; Anura; Dicroglossidae
Exons: 3
Source: RefSeq, a predicted model, not a curated record
CUUGUGUCACCAGGCCAGAAAAUGAGGUUGAAUCUCCCAAGUAGGGAGAGGUUCUAACCCUUCCCCAUUCUAUCCACACAAAAAAAGGCUAGAGUCUCACUUUACAUUUCAUCUACGUUUGUGUCUGGCUAUUUCCAUCAACAUUCCUUAUGCUUUGCUAGUGCAACUUCUGCUUGCUUCUACUUUUAACACUUCAGCUGCUGACGUGCUAAGCAUUGGAAUGCAGACUUU